Molecule: microRNA precursor, 98 nt
Organism: Danio rerio (zebrafish)
Lineage: Eukaryota; Metazoa; Chordata; Actinopteri; Cypriniformes; Danionidae
Source: Ensembl
CAGGUUCUCUGGCUUGACGUCCCGGUGCAGGACACCACGGCUCUCACAGUGUUUCAGCGCUGCGAUCAGCUGCACCAGCACUUUCUUGGUCAGACGCU